This 72-nucleotide transfer RNA is filed under the name Acidobacteriota bacterium. Its description in RNAcentral is "Acidobacteria bacterium (activated sludge metagenome) tRNA-Val". It matches the Rfam family "tRNA". From Rfam's summary of the family: Transfer RNA (tRNA) molecules are approximately 80 nucleotides in length. The record is from RNAcentral. RNAcentral also lists the same sequence under 1 other name. Lineage: Bacteria; Pseudomonadati; Acidobacteriota.
AGUCGGGUAGCUCAGCGGGAGAGCAUCGGUCUUACAAACCGAGGGUCGUCGGUUCAAACCCGACUCCGACUA